This 253-nucleotide ribosomal RNA is filed under the name uncultured bacterium. RNAcentral describes it as "partial 16S ribosomal RNA". It matches the Rfam family "Bacterial small subunit ribosomal RNA", at positions 524 to 776 of the family's 1533-position model. The record is from RNAcentral.
UACGUAGGUGGCAAGCGUUAUCCGGAAUUACUGGGCGUAAAGCGCACGCAGGCGGUCGAUCAAGUCGAGUGUGAAAGCCCCCGGCUCAACUGGGGAGGGUCAUUCGAUACUGAUCGACUCGAAGGCAGGAGAGGGUAGUGGAAUUCCCGGUGUAGUGGUGAAAUGCGUAGAUAUCGGGAGGAACACCAGUGGCGAAGGCGACUACCUGGCCUGUUCUUGACGCUGAGGCGCGAAAGCUAGGGGAGCAAACGGG